UCUGCGUUACCGCAGCAGUCUCGCGUGACACGUAUAACACACGAUAGGGGUUGCGCUCGUUAAUCCACUUAAGGAGACCACUCACGUGACGAGCUGACGACAGCCGUGCAGCACCUGUCCAGCGGCCUUUCGGGGUCCCUGGUUUCCCGGGGAUUUCCACUGAAUUUCAAACCCUGGUGAGGUUUCUCGGUUAGAGUCGAAUUAAACCGCAUGAUCCACUGCUUGUGCGAGUUCCCGCCUAUUUCUUUGAGUUUUAAUCUUGCGAUCGUACUUCCCAGGCGACACACUUAACGCGUUAGCUUCGCCACUGGAAGGGUCGAUGCUCCCAAUAGCUAGUGUGCAUAGUUUAGGGCGUGGACUA
This 361-nucleotide unclassified non-coding RNA is filed under the name uncultured bacterium. Its description in RNAcentral is "contains 16S-23S intergenic spacer region". The record is from RNAcentral.